This is a long non-coding RNA of Harpia harpyja (harpy eagle), 457 nucleotides long. RefSeq lists it as uncharacterized. The transcript has 3 exons. Lineage: Eukaryota; Metazoa; Chordata; Aves; Accipitriformes; Accipitridae. The record is from RefSeq and is a predicted model, not a curated record.
UUGGAGAGCAAUUGCUUUUCAAACCUCACAGUUUGGGGCAGGCACAGACCAAGAGAAGUUAAUGAGAGGCCUGCUCAGCCCUUAUCACCCCUUUUUCUUUUCCUUUCUCUUCCUCCAUCCUCACUCCCCCCUCGCCUUUGCCAGAAAAACCCUGCUCUCAUUUCCUCAGACAUGGACGCAGCAGAAAUAACACUGAUAGGAAGCACGUUUUCCCCCGCCGGAUUACUUGCACCCCGGAGCCCCAAUCCAGAAUGAAUUCUCCAGCCAGUAUCUCUCAUCCAACCUCAGCAGCAGAAAAAGCCCCAGAGGGAGACGUGAAACACAGGUUCUUCUGAGGCCAAGCAGCCUGUGAGUUCUGGAUCCCCAUUGCCAAAACAUCUUCUCAGGAGGAAUCAAAUGGAAAUCCAUGCUGUGUCCUUGCUCCCAUGACUGUCAGAAUUCAGGUUGCCCUGGAGAC